CCGAUGACUGGGUGGGUGCGUGCGUGCGUGCGUGCGCCCAAAGAACGCCAGCUUGCUUCCUUUGUGUUUCAUUGAACCGCAUCAGGCAGGCACUUCCCAUCCUUUGAGUCCAAGUGAAACGCCGGGCCGAAUCAUAUUUUGAUGAGCACUUUGGCAAGUUGUCUCUCCCUUCCUGCCAGCAGUCUGAAACAACUGUUUCCAAUCAACCUUUCUCUUGAAUGGGCUUUCUGUACAAUCCAAAUGUUAAUUGUACAUAGAUAUGUAUGAUAUAUGAUUAAAAAAAAUCUCUAUGUUGCCACUUUGGGCUAAAGUUUCUGUGAGUGCUAUAUCAAUAAAUUUGUACUUUUACUUUGUGCGCAGCAUGCGAAGACUAACUGUUGAGUUCUUUCGAGUUCUUCUGUAGCAGCAGCCCGCCCGCCCGCCCACCCACUCUCACAAACGUACUUCCACGUAUCACUUGCAAAGAUAGAGUCAGUUGUCAGCAUAGUAGCCAAACGAUGAGGCGCCUCGAGACAGUCUCCUUUUGAAUUGGUUGCAAGAUGUGGAGGGAGUAUCGUCCUCAGUUAUGAAGCACUCUUGGAGUGUGCUUUUUCUCUCUAUCUUGGCAGUGCUGCAUCUCACUUCAAGUGUCAGCUAUUGUGAUGACUGCCUGCAAAUCACGGUGGAUGACACAAUUUACAAGACUCCACUUGGGGAAUACUUUGAGAUUAAAUGUUAUAUUAUCAGCACGGAGCAAUUGUCGAACAAUGUCGCCUGGUAUAAGUUGGAAGGUGACAAAUUUGUGCCGGUGACCGUUGACUCUCAUAUUGAGAUCAAAUCGGAGAAGUUAAGCAAUGUGACAACGAUGCUGUUAUGUUUCACAAAUAUACAACAAAGCAAUGCAGGUUACUAUCGCUGCGAAAGUGGAUCGGCCGUAGGACACACCAUCAACGUGUCUGUGUAUGAUAAUGACAUCAUGGCCGACAUCUCAUUGAGGAAUGACACCACAGCUAUGUCAAAGGAAGAGAUCAGAUGGAUGUACGUGUACUCCGCUGCAGGCACGAUUGCAUUUGUCGUCAUGGUGAUAUUUGUUUCUAUCAUUUCACUGCGACGGUGUAAAGGUGAGGCGUUUUCAUCCAGAUAUCUUUUUGUGUUUACGUGACACAGUUAUACUUGUUUUUUUGUGGUUGUCAUUUUAAUGACAUUUUUAUUGCAUCAUUUUAUACAUCUUUGAGGACUAAACAUUUUUAAAGAAAUAACACCUAGGCCGACCGACCAUCCUACUGUGUUGUCAUUGUGGUGAUACGAGAUGUGGUGAUUAAGAGAGCCAACUAUCAAUCACCUGUUGUGAAUUUUGCACUCAUGCAUCUUUUUUAGAAAACAGCAGGUCAUGCAAAAAGUACUGAAAUGCACAUUGAAAACUUUAGAAAAGUUCACCUCUAAAUGUUAUAUUAUUGAUAUAUUUUUUAGUUAUUUAUUUAUUCAUUCAUUCAUUUAUCCAUGUGUUUGUUUAUUGAUUUAGUAUUUAUUUUGUUUGUUUUUAUAUACAUUUUUAGGUCCAUCCUGGUAUUUCACCCAAAAGCCAAAGAUGUACCUCUAUACUUGAGAAUUGUGUAUAUGUACUAUAUUUGGAUUUAAAUAUGAAUACAUCCACGUUUAUAAAGCAAAACAUAUUUGAUCUAAUAACAUUACAUCUCCUUCAUGCAGGUCACGCGACCCGAACAGAAACUGAACAAAGCAGAGGCCAACCACAAAGUGUGCCAACCCCCUCCGGCAGCUACAUUUACAGCGAGAUGAGCGCAGAAGAAGGAAAGCACUCAAAAACAAGCAGCAGAGUGAAAGACGACAGAUCCGUCACGUAUGCCACUCUCGACCACCAGCCGCUUGCCGCCGCCGCCGCCGGUACUCCCGCGAGACCGAGGAGGCUUCAAGAAGAAAGUUCACACUAUGCAGAUAUACUACUGGACGAUCGGCUAUGACACAUGAUGUCAUGAAAGUCACCUUUCAUCUGCAUUCAAGCGAGGGAAAUGACUCGUUUCACAUCAGCUUCCUCUCACAUCCCAAAUGGCAAUCGUGGUUUUGGACGAAUGAGAGGUUGUCACACUCGAUCGGCGGGGGAUCAUUGUUGCCAC
RNA transcript from Syngnathus acus (greater pipefish), 2111 nucleotides. RefSeq lists it as uncharacterized. The transcript has 6 exons. The record is from RefSeq and is a predicted model, not a curated record. NCBI's taxonomy places the organism in Eukaryota, Metazoa, Chordata, Actinopteri, Syngnathiformes, Syngnathidae.